CUCAGACAUGUCUGGCAUUGAGAAGGAACAUGAACCUCGCAGAGGGGAAGGAUGGCUAGGGUUUGACUGUUUUUUUGAACAGGAUGGAAGCCAAGGGAGAUGGGGUCAGUUGAGGUGUUCCAACAACUGUCUCAAAAAUCCCGGCAGAAGAUUUUGAAGAAAAACCCCGGUUUUCUUGAAUCCUCACAGAAAGGGGAGACUAGAAACAAAAGACAUCUCCUUUGCUUCCAGAUUCCCGGAGUUGUCUGGUAAUGAGGCAAUCCUUUCCUGGCACCAAGGAAGGGCUGCCAAAACUUACCAGUUCGAAGCGAUGUCUGGUCAUCAGUUGGCGGUGGCCUUUCGCUGGAGUUGCCAAGUAAAGAAAGGGGUAGGGAGGGGAGAAGAAAAAGAAGGAGAGUGGAAUGUGAAGGUGGGAAGAAGGAUGGUAGAUGGGGCUGGGAACACGAAGCCGUGAGAGACAACCUCUCCGCUAUGAAACCCAGACCCCAUUCUGGGUUUUGGCACCAAAUGUUAGAAAAAUAUAAAGGAAGAGAGUGAGGGAGAGAAAGCAACUCAACAACCAAAUAGCUUGAUAUCUGACCUAUUUCAAGCUAUGCAGCUAUUCUCAUCUGAAGUCAUCAGUUGGGAUGGAAACCAGUCUCUCAGCAGUACUUAAACAGGUCAGAAAGUUGCCAGCAGUUCCAAUCUAUUAUUUUUAUCUCAAAGGAAAAAUCAGCAGUAGAGUGGCUUCCCUCCUUCGACUCAGUUUCAGGGAAGGGGUGAGAACACCCUGUGAAGAGGAAGGCAGAGAUUGGAAUGAUGCAGAAGAAGCCAACGAAUCUAGGAGAGAGGCAUGAAUUUCCCCUUCAUAGUCCUUGUAAGGAGCCAACCCUGCUGCACCUUUAUCUCAAAUGUCCAGCUUCCAGAACUGCAAGACAGUAAAUUUCUGCUGUUUAAGACAAAAAAAAAAAAAGUUAAGCUUUAUAUGCACAAAGCAAGACAUUACUUAUAUUAAAUGUUGUAUCUGUGAUCUUUACAACAUUUGUCAAAUAGUCUAUUAGCCAAUCAGUUGGUAGGCAGAAGUAUCUAAAUCACAUAAAAUAAUUGUGCCUAAAUAAUUCUGGUAACUUAUGUAUAAUCCGUUGAACAUCUUGACAAUCACUAAUUUAACUAAUGCAAGUUUGUCAAAUAGGGGAACUGGGGAUCCUGAUACUAAUAUAAUUUUAGAAGAUGAACAACAGUAAAGCAUUUAUGGACUGAGAGCUUAAUGUGUUUAUUUCUUUUAAAAUUUUACAAACUGCUGGGUGUGUUGGCUUAUGCCUCUAAUCUCAGCACUUUGGGAGACUGAGGCAGGUGAAUUGCUUGAGCCCAGGAGUUCACGACCAGCUUGGGCAACGUAGUGAGAACUAAUUUCUACUAAAAAUUAAACAAAAAAAUAGUCAAGUGUGGUGGUACACACCUGAAAUCCCAGUUAUUCUGGAGACUGUGGCAGUAAGAUCAUUUGAGCCCAAGAUACUGAGACUACUGUGAGCCAUGAUUGUGCCACUGCACUCCAGCUCAGGCAACAGACUGAGACCCUGUCUCAAAAAUAAAUAAAUACAAAUAAAAUAAAAUUUUACAAACUUUCUGAUUUAGCAGUCACUAAAAACCACAUGAAAAAUCUAUUAUAUAUACACCAUCUUUUAAAAUAAAUACAUUGUAAUUUUGAAAAAUUGUGUUAUUUCCCUGAAAUCAACGUUAGCAAACAAUGGGGCUAAUAUAAAUCCAGAUAUGUUCAACUUCAAAGCCUAUACUACAAUUACUCUUGUAAAAAUAGUUUUCCAGUUAUGCCUCAACUUGUUUUAACUAGUGGAAAAAAAAAGCUUUCCAGCCCAUUAUGAGAAAGAAAAUUUAACUUCUCUAUUACAUAACUUGAUUACAUAAAUUACUAUAACCUAAUAAGUGCAGUUAACUUGACAUCCUCACUUAACAUAUGGAAGAGCACAUUUAUGACACAUUUAUAGACAUCAGUAUGGCAUUGUAUAUCAGAAAUUAAAAUGUGGAUAAGAUUUUGUCCCCCAAAUUUUACUACAAUAAAUUUGUUUUAAGGAAAUAUUGAAGUAGCAAAGAUGUAUGUUUAAGAAUAUUAAUUAUUACAGUGCUAAAAAAUAAAAUAUAGAACAAAAACUGAAUACAAAAUGUGACUAGAAUGUCAAAUAGAUGUCUACAUUCCCAUAUUUAUUGAAACAUUUUUCAUUAUAGCCAAGAUUUGCAAGCAACCUAAGUGCCUCUCAACAAAUAAAGAGAUUGUUUAAAUGUUUUGUGUGUGUGUGUGUGUAUAAUGGAAUACUGUUCAAUCUUUAGAAAAAAUAAAAUUCUGCAAUUUGCAACAACAUGAAUAAAGCUAGAGGACAUUUAUACUGAAUGAAAUAAGUCAUGUACAGAUAAACAAAUAUUACAUGCUCUCACUUAUAUGUGCAAGCAAAAAUUUGAGCUUACACAAGUAAGGGGUAAAAUGGUUACUACCAAAAACUAGGGCAGGAGUGCAUGGAGAAAGGAAAAUGUUGGUUAAAAGGUACAAAAUUUCAAUUAGAUAAGAGAAAAAAGUUAUGGUGAUCUAAUGCAUACCAAGUAAUUACAAUUAAUAAUAAUGAAUUUUCUAUUUAUAAUUGCAAAAAGGGGGAUUUUAAAUGUUCUUAACAAAAAUAAAUGUGAGAAUUGACAGAUAUAUUAAUUAACCUAAUUUGUUCAAUCCACAAUGUAUACCUGUAUCUAUGCAUCACA
Molecule: long non-coding RNA, 2742 nt
Filed under: Homo sapiens (human)
Lineage: Eukaryota; Metazoa; Chordata; Mammalia; Primates; Hominidae
Description: HSALNT0284066
Source: RNAcentral